GGCCUCACAAUGCUUACCACAGACUGUGUUCUUUACACUGAUUGUCUAGAAAGAGGAGGUACAGUAAAUGUACCCACAUACACCUCAGCCCAGACCCUUUGCCUGGAAUGUAUUGUGAAUGGGAGGACAUGG
Molecule: small nucleolar RNA, 132 nt
Organism: Suncus etruscus (white-toothed pygmy shrew)
Lineage: Eukaryota; Metazoa; Chordata; Mammalia; Eulipotyphla; Soricidae
Product: small nucleolar RNA SNORA51
Exons: 1
Source: RefSeq, a predicted model, not a curated record